AACGAACGCUGGCGGCAGGCUUAACACAUGCAAGUCGAGCGAAGACUUCGGUCUUAGCGGCGGACGGGUGAGUAACGCGUGGGAACGUGCCUUUCACUACGGAAUAGUCCCGGGAAACUGGGUUUAAUACCGUAUACGCCCUUCGGGGGAAAGAAUUUCGGUGAGAGAUCGGCCCGCGUCUGAUUAGGUAGUUGGUGGGGUAAUGGCCUACCAAGCCGACGAUCAGUAGCUGGUUUGAGAGGAUGAUCAGCCACACUGGGACUGAGACACGGCCCAGACUCCUACGGGAGGCAGCAGUGAGGAAUCUUGGACAAUGGGGGAAACCCUGAUCCAGCCAUGCCGCGUGAACGAUGAAGGCCUUAGGGUUGUAAAGUUCUUUCAACGGUGAAGAUAAUGACGGUAGCCGUAGAAGAAACCCCGGCUAACUCCGUG
RNAcentral lists this ribosomal RNA (432 nucleotides) under uncultured bacterium. RNAcentral describes it as "bacterial SSU rRNA". It matches the Rfam family "Bacterial small subunit ribosomal RNA", at positions 29 to 507 of the family's 1533-position model. The record is from RNAcentral.